GCGUUGUUCGGAUUUAUUGGGCGUAAAGGGUGCGUAGGCGGUUUGGCAAGUCUUAUGUGAAAUCUAUGGGCUCAACCCAUAGUCUGCAUGAGAAACUACCGGGCUUGAGUAUUGGAGAGGUGAGUGGAAUUUCCGGUGUAGCGGUGAAAUGCGUAGAUAUCGGAAGGAACACCUGUGGCGAAAGCGGCUCACUGGACAAUAACUGACGCUGAUGCACGAAAGCUAG
Molecule: ribosomal RNA, 226 nt
Filed under: uncultured bacterium
Lineage: Bacteria
Description: partial 16S ribosomal RNA
Rfam family: Bacterial small subunit ribosomal RNA
Source: RNAcentral